Molecule: transfer RNA, 69 nt
Filed under: Ictidomys tridecemlineatus (thirteen-lined ground squirrel)
Lineage: Eukaryota; Metazoa; Chordata; Mammalia; Rodentia; Sciuridae
Description: Spermophilus tridecemlineatus (thirteen-lined ground squirrel) tRNA
Rfam family: tRNA
About the family: Transfer RNA (tRNA) molecules are approximately 80 nucleotides in length. Their secondary structure includes four short double-helical elements and three loops (D, anti-codon, and T loops).
Source: Rfam by way of RNAcentral
GGGGUUGUGGCUCAGCAGUAGAGCGCUUGCCUAGUGAGUGUGAGGCCCUGGGUUCGAUCCUCAGCACCA